RNAcentral lists this ribosomal RNA (548 nucleotides) under Salmonella enterica subsp. enterica serovar Havana. RNAcentral describes it as "bacterial SSU rRNA". It matches the Rfam family "Bacterial small subunit ribosomal RNA", at positions 997 to 1533 of the family's 1533-position model. The record is from RNAcentral. Lineage: Bacteria; Pseudomonadati; Pseudomonadota; Gammaproteobacteria; Enterobacterales; Enterobacteriaceae.
AAUCCAGAGAUGGAUUUGUGCCUUCGGGAACUGUGAGACAGGUGCUGCAUGGCUGUCGUCAGCUCGUGUUGUGAAAUGUUGGGUUAAGUCCCGCAACGAGCGCAACCCUUAUCCUUUGUUGCCAGCGGUUAGGCCGGGAACUCAAAGGAGACUGCCAGUGAUAAACUGGAGGAAGGUGGGGAUGACGUCAAGUCAUCAUGGCCCUUACGACCAGGGCUACACACGUGCUACAAUGGCGCAUACAAAGAGAAGCGACCUCGCGAGAGCAAGCGGACCUCAUAAAGUGCGUCGUAGUCCGGAUUGGAGUCUGCAACUCGACUCCAUGAAGUCGGAAUCGCUAGUAAUCGUGGAUCAGAAUGCCACGGUGAAUACGUUCCCGGGCCUUGUACACACCGCCCGUCACACCAUGGGAGUGGGUUGCAAAAGAAGUAGGUAGCUUAACCUUCGGGAGGGCGCUUACCACUUUGUGAUUCAUGACUGGGGUGAAGUCGUAACAAGGUAACCGUAGGGGAACCUGCGGUUGGAUCACCUCCUUACCUGAAAGAAGC